AUGUCAGCAGGCAUUUCCCCUGACAACCGUCCCUCCCCUGCACACCCAGACCAACUCAGGACAAACUGGUUUUAUGCCAGCCCUGCCAGAUAUCAAGGAAAUGAAGGAGAAAAGCACAGAAGUAUCUACUGGAAUCAUGGAUAUAACCUUUUGCAAAGGGAAAAGCCCUUGGUGGAGAAGGAAACCCACAAACCAUACGAAAGUUUAUUUGGAGACAAAGUAGGAAGGGUAAGAAUUAUCCUAAGCUCUUGUUUUCAAAACAUGCAUUACAUAUUAUUUAUUUAUGUAUUUAUCCAUUGUCUUCUUCCAAAGCUUUUCUUACAACCUCACUUGAAAAACUACAAUGUGUGUUAGCCCAAGGACCCAGUCUGACUGCACAAGUGCUGUCUGGGUGCCUAUCAAUAACUUCUGAAACCAUAGGUCAAUUGUAAUUGAAUUUGGCAGGCUGGCAUUUCAGAAAGAAAGUUUGUUCUACUUACAUUAAGCACCAUCUUUACUCUUAGGGUGGUGAGGCACCGGAACAGGUUGCCCAGAGAAGCUGUGGAUGCCCCAUCCCGGGAGGUGUUCAAGGCCAGGCUGGAUGGGGCUUUGGGCAACCGGGUCUGGUGGGAAGUGUCCCUGCCCAUGGCAGGGGGUUGGAAGUGGGUGAUCUUUCAUGUCCCUUCCAACCCAAACCGUUCUGUGAUUCUAUGAAAUAAUGGGUAGGUACAAAAAUGCCAAAGGAUGUUCCAGGCUGCAAGCUGAGCUCAGCUCAUCUUACAGAAAAGAGGGCUUUAUAUCAGAGCACAAGGUCUUAGUACAGGCUGCAUAUUUUUCAUGAUACAUAGGAAUACAUACUUAUUUUAUGACUUGUAUUCCAUUUCUUCCAGAUGUCCAGAGACUGUGGCAUGAGAUGCAAUUGAAAGAACAACCAUUACCCAUAUUUUAAAAGGAAAACCUACAGGAAAAAAAAAAAAAAAAAAGUUUUGUUUUGAACUCCUAGGUUUCAUUUUUCAAAUUCAAAGAGAGAAAGAAAAAACUUUUUUUCCUGUUCUACCUGUAAAAUUAUAUUACUUCUUGGUUUUGAAAAGGUCAUAUCACCUGAUGUAGUAAUUGCAUGCAGCUGUUAUGUAAUUGUUCCUCAUAUUUCUAUAAAAGGCAGUAAUUGGAAUAGUUUCUUGAAAGUUAUUAUGUGGCAGGUACUUCCUGGGGACAACAACAAUAGCUAUUCAUCUGGUGGCAACAGUCCCCCAUAGGGAGCUCAGAGCUGCCCGUGGGAGCUGCUGUGGACCUGGGGAAGUUACGUGUUCCGUCUCUUUGCCAUGAAGAGCGGAGCGUGGGCAGAUGAACUUUGUUGGCUCCAUCUGUCUCACAGGCUCAGUGAGUCAGCUCGGAAAGCAGCACACGCAUGCACACACUGUCCCUCUCCUCAGGACCAGGAUCAAAAAAGCUCCACCGGCAAGGGCCAGCAGCCAGCACUGCUCGGCUUGCCUUUCCUGCCAGCCUCACCCAAAGGGCCUGCAUCGGACCCUGUGUCCUUGUGGGAUGGAGUAGGAAAGGUCUGGGGCUCUGAAUCCCUGUUUUCUCGAACAGUCAUACUGGGAAUAAAUAACAAUAUAUGACCCUCCUUUGCA
Anser cygnoides (Swan goose) is the source of this 1613-nucleotide long non-coding RNA. NCBI's taxonomy places the organism in Eukaryota, Metazoa, Chordata, Aves, Anseriformes, Anatidae. The record is from Ensembl.